AGCCCAAACCAACAAGCUUGCUUGUUGGGGUUGUAGGACACUCUAUACGGAGUUACAAAGGACGACAUUAGACGAAUCAUCUGGAAAGAUGAAUCAAAGAAGGUAAUAAUCCUGUAGUCGAAAAUGUUGUCUCUCUUGAGUGGAUCCUGAGUACGACGGAGCACGUGAAAUUCCGUCGGAAUCUGGGAGGACCAUCUCCUAAGGCUAAAUACUCUCUAGUGACCGAUAGUGAACCAGUACCGUGAGGGAAAGGUGAAAAGCACCCCGGAAGGGGAGUGAAAUAGAACCUGAAACCGUGUGCUUACAAGUAGUCAGAGCCCGUUAAUGGGUGAUGGCGUGCCUUUUGUAGAAUGAACCGGCGAGUUACGAUUUGAUGCAAGGUUAAGCAGUAAAUGUGGAGCCGUAGCGAAAGCGAGUCUGAAUAGGGCGUUUAGUAUUUGGUCGUAGACCCGAAACCAGGUGAUCUACCCUUGGUCAGGUUGAAGUUCAGGUAACACUGAAUGGAGGACCGAACCGACUUACGUUGAAAAGUGAGCGGAUGAACUGAGGGUAGCGGAGAAAUUCCAAUCGAACCUGGAGAUAGCUGGUUCUCUCCGAAAUAGCUUUAGGGCUAGCCUCAAGUGAUGAUUAUUGGAGGUAGAGCACUGUUUGGACGAGGGGCCCCUCUCGGGUUACCGAAUUCAGACAAACUCCGAAUGCCAAUUAAUUUAACUUGGGAGUCAGAACAUGGGUGAUAAGGUCCGUGUUCGAAAGGGAAACAGCCCAGACCACCAGCUAAGGUCCCAAAAUAUAUGUUAAGUGGAAAAGGAUGUGGCGUUGCCCAGACAACUAGGAUGUUGGCUUAGAAGCAGCCAUCAUUUAAAGAGUGCGUAAUAGCUCACUAGUCGAGUGACACUGCGCCGAAAAUGUACCGGGGCUAAACAUAUUACCGAAGCUGUGGAUUGUCCUUUGGACAAUGGUAGGAGAGCGUUCUAAGGGCGUUGAAGCAUGAUCGUAAGGACAUGUGGAGCGCUUAGAAGUGAGAAUGCCGGUGUGAGUAGCGAAAGACGGGUGAGAAUCCCGUCCACCGAUUGACUAAGGUUUCCAGAGGAAGGCUCGUCCGCUCUGGGUUAGUCGGGUCCUAAGCUGAGGCCGACAGGCGUAGGCGAUGGAUAACAGGUUGAUAUUCCUGUACCACCUAUAAUCGUUUUAAUCGAUGGGGGGACGCAGUAGGAUAGGCGAAGCGUGCGAUUGGAUUGCACGUCUAAGCAGUAAGGCUGAGUAUUAGGCAAAUCCGGUACUCGUUAAGGCUGAGC
This 1295-nucleotide ribosomal RNA is filed under the name Staphylococcus aureus. Its description in RNAcentral is "partial 23S ribosomal RNA". It matches the Rfam family "Bacterial large subunit ribosomal RNA", at positions 266 to 1561 of the family's 2925-position model. The record is from RNAcentral. Lineage: Bacteria; Bacillati; Bacillota; Bacilli; Caryophanales; Staphylococcaceae.